This 89-nucleotide small nucleolar RNA is filed under the name Xylaria grammica. RNAcentral's name for it is "Small nucleolar RNA R38". It matches the Rfam family "Small nucleolar RNA R38". From Rfam's summary of the family: snoR38 is a C/D box small nucleolar RNA conserved across yeast, human, Arabidopsis and rice. It is encoded in the intron of elongation factor-1 gamma in both pombe and cerevisiae. snoR38 guides the methylation of 2'-O-ribose sites in 28S rRNA. Lineage: Eukaryota; Fungi; Ascomycota; Sordariomycetes; Xylariales; Xylariaceae. The record is from Rfam by way of RNAcentral. RNAcentral also lists the same sequence under 1 other name.
CACUUGACAUGAUGACCUAGACUAUUAUUCUAACAGUUAUCCCUGACUGAAUCAUCUUUGUUGAUAUCGUUCUACUUUCUGAUCCCAUG